RNAcentral lists this long non-coding RNA (2026 nucleotides) under Mytilus galloprovincialis (Mediterranean mussel). Lineage: Eukaryota; Metazoa; Mollusca; Bivalvia; Mytilida; Mytilidae. The record is from RNAcentral.
GUGCGCAGACAAUAAAUAGGAGUUUUUGCCCAUCUUACAUUUAGAAUUACGCGUAAAGUGAUAUUACUAAUAAACCAAACAUAUUAAAGACCUUGGGUCUUUUGAUUUAAGGUCCUUGGUUUGUGAACUUGAAAUUGAGGUCAAGGUCAUAGGUUAAUAUGACGUUCUAGAUUUUGACCUUUGCUUUAAAUUCAUAUAAAUACAUCAUACAGCCAUAGGAACUAACAUUUUAAACUGAUUUUUAAUAUUUCAAUAUCAAAAAAGAUCUUUUCUAGUGGAAAGACCUACAAUUGUUCUCUGAACAAUUGGUUUUUAAUUAUUAUUAAGUUUUUUUUUUUUUCUUCCGACCUAAUUUUUUUUCUUGGCGGAUUAUUGAUGUUCAAAGAUGUCGCUUAGAUAUGGAAUAUGUAUCGUAAGUGUAUACGCUUAAAAAUUUACAACUGUUGUAACAAAUACUUACGUCGUUAAGAGUUAUCUCCCCAAACACUGUUUUUCUUGUGGCCACUACUCCUUCCGCAACCCUUAAAGAUACGACAAAUUUAUUUUACCAAAUUGCUCGUUACAUCUUCAGAUUAGAAUAUCAUUUGGACCGAAGCUAUUACGGAGACUCCAUAUGAGAGUUAUUCCCUUCCCUUAAUAAUUGAUAUGACCAUUUCUUAGAAUGGUAACCAUAAGGAUAAAACAAUAGGCUUUCAGAUGAGCUUCCUUGGUCCAAAAUAAUAAAAAUGAAAGGCAAGCAAAGGUCAAAGGUCAUAUUCUAAAAUUAUUUUGGCUAUUCUUCAUUAUUUCAAAUACUUAAAUGACAUAUCGACAAAAUAAUUUACGUUACGACAUUCACUACUUGUAUAUUUUAUUGAAAGUGGCAGGAAAUAGAUUUCCAUCUUACAUGUAGAUACGCGUAAAGUACUAUACUAAUAAACCAACAUAUUAAAGACCUUGGUCUUUGAUUUAAGUCCUGGUUUGAAACUGAAUUGAGGUCCAAGUCUAUGUCAGAUAUACUCUAAUUUUGACCUUUGCCCUUAAAUUCAUAUAAAUUACAUCAUACAGCCAUGGAACUAACAUUUUUAAACUGUAUUUUAAUAUUUCAUAUCAAAAUAGAUCUUUCUAGGGAAAACCUACAUGUCUCUUAACAAUGGUUGUAAUAUUAUUAUAUUUUUUUUUUUUUUCCGCCUAAUUUUUUUUCUUGCGUAUUAUUGAUGUUUCAAAAGAUGUCGCUUAGAUAUUUGGAAUAUGGUAUCGUAUAGUUUAUACGCUUUAAAAAUUUACAACUGUGUAACAAAAUACUUUACGUUGUAAGAGUUAUCUCCCCAAACACUGUUUUUCUUGUGGCCACUACUCCUUCGCAACCAUUAAAGAUUACGACAAAUUUAUUUUACCAAAUUGCUCGUUACAUCUUCAGGAUUAGGAUAUUCAUUUGGACCGAAGCUUUACGGAGACUCCAUAUGAGAGUUAUUCCCCCUUUUCCCUUAAAUUAAGUGAUAUGCAUUUCUAAAUGGUAAACCAUAAGUGAUAAAGACAUAGGGUCUUUAGAUUUGGGGUCCUUGGUCGAAAAUAAUAAAAAUGAGGUCAAGGUCAAAGGUCAAGGUCAUAUUCUAAAUUUUGAUUUUGGCUUAUUUUCAUUUAUUUUCAAAUACCUUAUGACAUAUCGACAAAUAAUUUUUCAUAAAUUGUUAGUUGCGACAUGUCCUUACUUGUAUAUUUUGAUUGAAAGGGUGCGCAGACAAUAAAUAGGAGUUUUUGCCCAUCUUACAUUUAGAAUUACGCGUAAAGUGAUAUUACUAAUAAACCAAACAUAUUAAAGACCUUGGGUCUUUUGAUUUAAGGUCCUUGGUUUGUGAACUUGAAAUUGAGGUCAAGGUCAUAGGUUAAUAUGACGUUCUAGAUUUUGACCUUUGCUUUAAAUUCAUAUAAAUACAUCAUACAGCCAUAGGAACUAACAUUUUAAACUGAUUUUUAAUAUUUCAAUAUCAAAAAAGAUCUUUUCUAGUGGAAAGACCUACAAUUGUUCUCUGAACAAUUGGUUAUU